GACGAACGCUGGCGGCGUGCCUAAUACAUGCAAGUAGAACGCUGAAGGAGGAGCUUGCUUCUCUGGAUGAGUUGCGAACGGGUGAGUAACGCGUAGGUAACCUGCCUGGUAGCGGGGGAUAACUAUUGGAAACGAUAGCUAAUACCGCAUAAGAGUAGAUGUCGCACGACAUUUGCUUAAAAGGUGCAAUUGCAUCACUACCAGAUGGACCUGCGUUGUAUUAGCUAGUUGGUGAGGUAACGGCUCACCAAGGCAACGAUACAUAUCCGACCUGAGAGGGUGAUCGGCCACACUGGGAAUGAGACACGGCCCAGACUCCUACGGGAGGCAGCAGUAGGGAAACUUCGGCAAUGGAGGGAAGGCUGAACGAGCAACGCCGCGUGAGUGAAGAAGGUUUUCGGAUCGGAAAGCUCUGUUGUAAGAGAAGAACGAGUGUGAGAGUGGAAAGUUCACACUGUGACGGUAGCUUACCAGAAAGGGACGGCUAACUACGUG
Molecule: ribosomal RNA, 495 nt
Filed under: uncultured bacterium
Lineage: Bacteria
Description: partial 16S ribosomal RNA
Rfam family: Bacterial small subunit ribosomal RNA
Source: RNAcentral